AUUGAACGCUGGCGGCAUGCUUUACACAUGCAAGUCGAACGGCAGCGCGGGCUUCGGCCUGGCGGCGAGUGGCGAACGGGUGAGUAAUGCAUCGGAACGUGCCCAGUAGUGGGGGAUAGCCCGGCGAAAGCCGGAUUAAUACCGCAUACGACCUGAGGGUGAAAGCGGGGGACCGAAAGGCCUCGCGCUAUUGGAGCGGCCGAUGUCGGAUUAGCUAGUUGGUGGGGUAAAGGCUUACCAAGGCGACGAUCCGUAGCUGGUCUGAGAGGACGACCAGCCACACGGGGACUGAGACACGGCCCAGACUCCUACGGGAGGCAGCAGUGGGGAAUUUUGGACAAUGGGGGCAACCCUGAUCCAGCCAUGCCGCGUGCGGGAAGGAGGCCUUCGGGUUGUAAACCGCUUUUGUUCGGGAAGAAAUCCUCUGGGCUAAUACCCCGGGGGGAUGACGGUACCGGAAGAAUAAGCACCGGCUAACUACGUG
RNAcentral lists this ribosomal RNA (484 nucleotides) under uncultured bacterium. RNAcentral describes it as "partial 16S ribosomal RNA". It matches the Rfam family "Bacterial small subunit ribosomal RNA", at positions 28 to 507 of the family's 1533-position model. The record is from RNAcentral.